GAUGAACGCUGGCGGCGUGCCUAAUACAUGCAAGUCGAGCGAACGGACGAGAAGCUUGCUUCUCUGAUGUUAGCGGCGGACGGGUGAGUAACACGUGGAUAACCUACCUAUAAGACUGGGAUAACUUCGGGAAACCGGAGCUAAUACCGGAUGAUAUUUUGAACCGCAUGGUUCAAAAGUGAAAGACGGUCUUGCUGUCACUUAUAGAUGGAUCCGCGCUGCAUUAGCUAGUUGGUAAGGUAACGGCUUACCAAGGCAACGAUGCAUAGCCGACCGGAGAGGGUGGUCGGCCACACUGGAACUGAGACACGGUCCAGACUCCUACGGGAGGCAGCAGUAGGGAAUCUUCCGCAAUGGGCGAAAGCCUGACGGAGCAACGCCGCGUGAGUGAUGAAGGUCUUCGGAUCGUAAAACUCUGUUAUUAGGGAAGAACAUAUGUGUAAGUAACUGUGCACAUCUUGACGGUACCUAAUCAGAAAGCCACGGCUAACUACGUG
Molecule: ribosomal RNA, 497 nt
Filed under: uncultured bacterium
Lineage: Bacteria
Description: partial 16S ribosomal RNA
Rfam family: Bacterial small subunit ribosomal RNA
Source: RNAcentral